Molecule: ribosomal RNA, 936 nt
Filed under: Microbacterium azadirachtae
Lineage: Bacteria; Bacillati; Actinomycetota; Actinomycetes; Micrococcales; Microbacteriaceae
Description: bacterial SSU rRNA
Rfam family: Bacterial small subunit ribosomal RNA
Source: RNAcentral
GGGUAGCCGGCCUGAGAGGGUGACCGGCCACACUGGGACUGAGACACGGCCCAGACUCCUACGGGAGGCAGCAGUGGGGAAUAUUGCACAAUGGGCGGAAGCCUGAUGCAGCAACGCCGCGUGAGGGAUGACGGCCUUCGGGUUGUAAACCUCUUUUAGCAGGGAAGAAGCGAGAGUGACGGUACCUGCAGAAAAAGCACCGGCUAACUACGUGCCAGCAGCCGCGGUAAUACGUAGGGUGCAAGCGUUAUCCGGAAUUAUUGGGCGUAAAGAGCUCGUAGGCGGUUUGUCGCGUCUGCUGUGAAAUCCCGAGGCUCAACCUCGGGCCUGCAGUGGGUACGGGCAGACUAGAGUGCGGUAGGGGAGAUUGGAAUUCCUGGUGUAGCGGUGGAAUGCGCAGAUAUCAGGAGGAACACCGAUGGCGAAGGCAGAUCUCUGGGCCGUAACUGACGCUGAGGAGCGAAAGGGUGGGGAGCAAACAGGCUUAGAUACCCUGGUAGUCCACCCCGUAAACGUUGGGAACUAGUUGUGGGGUCCUUUCCACGGAUUCCGUGACGCAGCUAACGCAUUAAGUUCCCCGCCUGGGGAGUACGGCCGCAAGGCUAAAACUCAAAGGAAUUGACGGGGACCCGCACAAGCGGCGGAGCAUGCGGAUUAAUUCGAUGCAACGCGAAGAACCUUACCAAGGCUUGACAUACACGAGAACGGGCCAGAAAUGGUCAACUCUUUGGACACUCGUGAACAGGUGGUGCAUGUUUGUCGUCAGCUCCUGUCGUGAGAUGUUGGGUUAAGUCCCGCAACGAGCGCAACCCUCGUUCUAUGUUGCCAGCACGUAAUGGUGGGAACUCAUGGGAUACUGCCGGGGUCAACUCGGAGGAAGGUGGGGAUGACGUCAAAUCAUCAUGCCCCUUAUGUCUUGGGCUUCACGCAUGCUAC